Molecule: long non-coding RNA, 156 nt
Organism: Bombina bombina (fire-bellied toad)
Lineage: Eukaryota; Metazoa; Chordata; Amphibia; Anura; Bombinatoridae
Exons: 2
Source: RefSeq, a predicted model, not a curated record
GACCACUCCGUCAGAGAUUGUAACCAACUUCUGCGCAGGAAUGUGGGAACACCACCGAAUAGAAUCGCAAGCAAUCCUUGACUCUGGGGCUACUCACAAUUACAUUGACCAACACUUUGUGCUAACAAAUAAAAUACCACUUGUUAAAAAGUUAAA